Molecule: ribosomal RNA, 381 nt
Filed under: uncultured bacterium
Lineage: Bacteria
Description: bacterial SSU rRNA
Rfam family: Bacterial small subunit ribosomal RNA
Source: RNAcentral
ACCGGAGGAAGGUGGGGAUGACGUCAAGUCAUCAUGGCCCUUAUAGGUGGGGCUACACACGUCAUACAAUGGCUGGUACAAAGGGUUGCCAACCCGCGAGGGGGAGCUAAUCCCAUAAAGCCAGUCGUAGUCCGGAUCGCAGUCUGCAACUCGACUGCGUGAAGUCGGAAUCGCUAGUAAUCGUGGAUCAGAAUGUCACGGUGAAUACGUUCCCGGGUCUUGUACACACCGCCCGUCACACCAUGGGAGCGGGUUCUGCCAGAAGUAGUUAGCCUAACCGCAAGGAGGGCGAUUACCACGGCAGGGUUCGUGACUGGGGUGAAGUCGUAACAAGGUAACCGUAAAGGGCGAAUUCUGCAGAUAUCCAUCACACUGGCGGCC